ACGUAGGAUCCAAGCGUUAUCCGGAUUUACUGGGUUUAAAGGGUGCGUAGGCGGGCAUAUAAGUCAGUGGUGAAAUUUUAUGGCUUAACUAUAAAAUUGCCGUUGAUACUGUAUGUCUUGAAUACAGAUGAAGUUGGCGGAAUGCGACAAGUAGCGGUGAAAUGCUUAGAUAUGUCGCAGAACACCGAUAGCGAAGGCAGCUGGCUAAACUGGCAUUGACGCUGAAGCACGAAAGCGUGGGGAUCAAACAG
Molecule: ribosomal RNA, 251 nt
Filed under: uncultured prokaryote
Description: partial 16S rRNA
Rfam family: Bacterial small subunit ribosomal RNA
Source: RNAcentral